UAUCUGCCCUUUGGCCUGGAAUAACACGAGGAAACUUGUGCUAAUACCGGAUAAGUCUUUACGGAGAAAGCUUUAUGCACCAUUGGAUGAGCCCGCACUUGAUUAGUUUGUUGGUGGGGUAAUGGCCUACCAAGACUGUGAUCAAUAGCUGAUUUGAGAGGAUGAUCAGCCACAUUGGGACUGAGACACGGCCCAAACUCCUACGGGAGGCAGCAGUGGGGAAUCUUGCACAAUGGAGGAAACUCUGAUGCAGCGAUGCCGCGUGAGUGAAGAAGGCCCUUGGGUUGUAAAGCUCUUUCGUCGGGGAAGAAAAUGACUGUACCCGAAUAAGAAGGUCCGGCUAACUUCGUGCCAGCAGCCGCGGUAAUACGAAGGGACCUAGCGU
RNAcentral lists this ribosomal RNA (385 nucleotides) under uncultured bacterium. RNAcentral describes it as "bacterial SSU rRNA". It matches the Rfam family "Bacterial small subunit ribosomal RNA", at positions 123 to 541 of the family's 1533-position model. The record is from RNAcentral.